Molecule: long non-coding RNA, 2538 nt
Organism: Dama dama (fallow deer)
Lineage: Eukaryota; Metazoa; Chordata; Mammalia; Artiodactyla; Cervidae
Exons: 4
Source: RefSeq, a predicted model, not a curated record
UGCAUUCAAAGGGGAAGACCUACUCUGUUCUAAGCUUGCAUGAAAAUGGAAGAAACACUUAAUAGCACUCCUCUCCACGCUUCAGUUUCUUAAGCAGUACUCCAGAGACGACGGAUUGACCGGUUUGAUCUCCUUGCAGUCCAAGGGACCCUUCAGAGUCUUCUCCAGCACCAGAAUUCAAAAGCAUCAAUUUUUGGAGAUGGUAUUAUGUGUUCUGACUUUUCUUGAGGCUUCCUGUUUCUGUUGUCUGUGGAUCAUUGGACCAGAUAUGCCCUGAUUCUAAUAUUUGUGAGUGGAAAAGACUGAAAUCUCUAUAGCCAGUGUAAGCCUGCCAACCUCUGCAUCCACUGAUUGUCCAGGAGAAUCAAAUGGGGCGUAAAGUUGGACUUUAGGACAUAUUCAAACUGAAAAGUACCGGGGUAGCAUCUUAAUUCUGGAAUAACAGGCUCAGAAUAUUAAAAAAAGCACCUUAUUCUAAAUGCAAAGAGCAGGAAUUUUUGAAUGAGAUGGCCCUGCCUUCUUGCAUUAAAAAGGCAAGACAAAACAAACAGUAUUUGUUAAAGGCCAUUUUCUAUAAUAGGUAAAAAAAACCCUUGUUUGUUUCAUUUUUUUCCCAUAGCAAAGAUUCCUCUAGCUUAUUCUGGGCUUCCCCUGGUCUGUCUUUGUAGAUUUACACACAUCCUCGACCAUUCCCCCUCUGCUAUUCUUCUAAUCCUACAAAAUGAAAACUUGAAUUGUUACUUCCAAGAGUAGGUGACUAUCUCUAUUGCAGUGGUUUUCAGACUUUGGUGACUCUGUUAAAACAUCUGCACCCCACCCCUAGAGUUUCUAAAUCAUUACAUUUGGGAUCGGGUUUGAGAAUCUGCAUAUAAUUCUGGUUCAUGGAUGAUAUUUGGAGAAUCACUGAUCUAUACUGAAAUAUGGAAGAAAAGGGUGAAAAAGUCCUAAUAUCACCUCUGUAUCCCAUUAUUUCCCCCCGAUUUCCUCAGAAUGUUGGACAUUUUGUAGUUUGUAGAAAUUACAGCUAGCUUUUUAAAAACCAGGAUCUGAUGUAGGCUUACAAUCUUAACUAAUGAAGUGAUGUGAAGUGAAGUUGCUCAGUCGUGUCCGGCUCUUUGCGACCCCAUGGACUGUAGCUUAACAGGAUCCUCCAUCCAUGGGAUUCUCCAGGCAAGAGUACUGGAGUGGGUUGUCAUUUCCUUCUCCAGGGGAUCUUCCCAGGUCUCCCGCAUUGUAGGCAGACGCUUUACCAUCUGAGCCACAAGGGAAGUCCCUUAACUAAUGAGGUCGACAUAUAUCUUGACUUAUCAUCUCUCAUUCAAGAAACAGUUUCCUCUACUAUGUGAGCGAACAUAUGCUUUAUAAAAGGUUUUCCAUCAAGCAAGAUCUCAUUCUUGUAUGGGUUGGAGUGCUUUGAACUCAGGCAUUGUUGUUCACUGGUGAAUUGGUAGGGGGCUUCAUAUUUUUUUUAGGAUAUAAGCAUUAUACCAUAAUACAUCUUUUGUAGGCCUAAAUGCUUGAACUCAAAAUUGGCUCUCUCCUGAGAACACUGCUUCCAUGCAGGCCCUUUCUGCCACAGCCUCUACAGCAUUGUGCCUGAGUCAGGAAGGGGUCUUUCUUGCUCCUUGUUGCCACUUUCAGACCAUUCUCCCUGCUUUCAGUCUGAGAACACUCCAUGGUAAAAUUGUUGUCAUCACACUCUAUCGCCUGUCACCUGUUCCUGUUGCCAUCAUCAGCUUUAUUUCUUUGAUUUUAGCUUUUGGCUAGCUCUUUAUAACCUAGUUAUUGGUGAUUUUGCAUCCAUGUGGUUGAUAUUUGUAAUAUUCUGACCUCUACUCAGUUCCUCCGACUCUUUCCCACCAAUUUUUUGUACGCUUCUUCUGUUCUGUGUACUUUCAUCAUUAACUCCCAAGGCCAUGCCCUAGGCUUUUUUUAGGUUUAUUACCUACAGCUAGAUCUCGUCCAUGAUUUCACCUCUCUUCUCAUUUUGGCUCAUUCUCUCUAGUGUCCUGACUGCAUUAAUUCUUUGAUCCCAUCGUUUUUACUCCCAGAUUAUAGCCCUUUGAAAGCCUGAAUCCCCACCAUCUGUGGGCUUCAGAUUCCAACCUUUGAUCCCCUAUUGCACUGCUCAGUUGCUGGAUGCACCCAGGGCAAAAGCAGCUGUAAGUGUGUGCCCAUCUCUGCUGUGUUCUUCAAAAUCCUUACUACUUUGUCAGUAUUUUAUGCUUUUAACUUCUAAAAAUUUAGUUAGGCAAAUUGAAGUACCUGCUUCAUAACUGAGAAUGGAAACUCUCCAGCUCCACCAUUUUCUCUUAAAACCUGAUACAGUUUUAACUGCUACCAUUCCUCUAAAUUGCUCUUGCGAAAAGCAUCAAAGAACUUCCCAUUACUAAAUCUAGUAGCCUUUUCCCAGCCUUCACCUAACUUGACAUUGACCCAGUAGAUCCCUGCCUCUUCAGGCAAACAUUUUCUUCACAUUCAUCUACUUUUUCUCCUAUCUCAGUGAUAGCUUCUUCUUAGUUUUCCUUGCUAGUUCCU